ACGGGUGAGUAACGCGUAAGUGAUCUACCCCUGUAUCUGGGAUAACUGUGGGAAACUGCAGCUAAUACCGGAUACGUUCAUGUUCUUGCGAGUAUAUGAAGAAAGAUGGCCUCUGAUUCAAGCUAUUGUACAGGGAGGAGCUUGCGUACCAUUAGCUAGUUGGUAGGGUAAUGGCCUACCAAGGCAACGAUGGUUAGCGGGUCUGAGAGGAUGAUCCGCCACACUGGAACUGAAACACGGACCAGACUCC
This 250-nucleotide ribosomal RNA is filed under the name uncultured bacterium. Its description in RNAcentral is "partial 16S ribosomal RNA". It matches the Rfam family "Bacterial small subunit ribosomal RNA", at positions 102 to 339 of the family's 1533-position model. The record is from RNAcentral.